This 73-nucleotide transfer RNA is filed under the name Gaiella occulta. Its description in RNAcentral is "Rubrobacteridae bacterium F2-223 tRNA". It matches the Rfam family "tRNA". From Rfam's summary of the family: Transfer RNA (tRNA) molecules are approximately 80 nucleotides in length. Lineage: Bacteria; Bacillati; Actinomycetota; Thermoleophilia; Gaiellales; Gaiellaceae. RNAcentral also lists the same sequence under 4 other names. The record is from Rfam by way of RNAcentral.
GCGGAUGUAGCUCAGUUGGUAGAGCGUCUGCUUGCCAUGCAGAAGGUCGUGGGUUCGAGUCCCAUCAUCCGCU